UACGAAGGGUGCAAGCGUUAAUCGGAAUUACUGGGCGUAAAGCGUGCGUAGGUGGUUUGUUAAGUCUGCUGUGAAAGCCCUGGGCUCAACCUGGGAAUGGCGGUGGAUACUGACAAGCUGGAGUGCGGUAGAGGAGGGUGGAAUUCCCGGUGUAGCGGUGAAAUGCGUAGAGAUCGGGAGGAACAUCAGUGGCGAAGGCGGCCCUCUGGACCAGCACUGACGCUGAGGCACGAAAGCGUGGGGAGCAAACAGG
This 253-nucleotide ribosomal RNA is filed under the name uncultured bacterium. RNAcentral's name for it is "partial 16S ribosomal RNA". It matches the Rfam family "Bacterial small subunit ribosomal RNA", at positions 524 to 776 of the family's 1533-position model. The record is from RNAcentral.